GACGAACGCUGGCGGCGUGCUUAACACAUGCAAGUCGAGCGAUGAAACACCUUCGGGUGUGAAUUAGCGGCGAACGGGUGAGGAACACGUGAAGAAUCUGCCUUCAACUCUGGGAUAACUCCGGGAAACCGGGGCUAAUACCGGAUAUGAGCCUUGAUCGCAUGAUCGGGGCUGGAAAGUUUUUCGGUUGAAGAUGACUUCGCGGCCUAUCAGCUUGUUGGUGAGGUAAUGGCUCACCAAGGCGACGACGGGUAGCCGGCCUGAGAGGGCGGCCGGCCACACUGGGACUGAGACACGGCCCAGACUCCUACGGGAGGCAGCAGUGGGGAAUAUUGGGCAAUGGAGGAAACUCUGACCCAGCGACGCCGCGUGAGGGAUGAAGGCCUUCGGGUUGUAAACCUCUUUCAGUAGGGAAGAAGCGAAAGUGACGGUACCUACAGAAGAAGCACCGGCUAACUAUGUGCCAGCAGCCGCGGUAAUACAUAGGGUGCAAGCGUUGUCCGGAAUUAUUGGGCGUAAAGAGCUCGUAGGUGGUUCGAUACGUCGGAUGUGAAAAUCAGGGGCUCAACCCCUGACCUGCAUCCGAUACGGUCGAGCUAGAGUUUGGUAGGGGAGACUGGAAUUCCUGGUGUAGCGGUGGAAUGCGCAGAUAUCAGGAGGAACACCGAUGGCGAAGGCAGGUCUCUGGGCCAAUACUGACACUGAGGAGCGAAAGCGUGGGGAGCGAACAGGAUUAGAUACCCUGGUAGUCCACGCCGUAAACGGUGGGCGCUAGUUGUGCGAACCUUCCACGGUUUGUGCGACGCAGCUAACGCAUUAAGCGCCCCGCCUGGGGAGUACGAUCGCAAGAUUA
This 853-nucleotide ribosomal RNA is filed under the name uncultured bacterium. Its description in RNAcentral is "bacterial SSU rRNA". It matches the Rfam family "Bacterial small subunit ribosomal RNA", at positions 28 to 896 of the family's 1533-position model. The record is from RNAcentral.